UUUGAACCGCCCGGUCCGUCCAACGAACCGGCGUCGAGCCGGUACUUCACCACCAACGGCGGUUUAGAGGUCCAACUCGAGCUCAGCUUGCUCAGUAUACUAUUUGAAUGGUAAAGUGUUUCUGCAUUCAAUGUUUUAUAGAAUUAUGAGGGAAAAUAAUUAUAUACAAAAUUAAUUUGAUAGUUUUUUAUAGCAUUAGAAAAGGAGUAACGUUAACAUAUUUAUAACUAGAAAAUUUGCUUUUAAUAUCUAUGUUCAAGAAUUAAAAAAUAACAUACAUAAGAAUUAACAUGAAAUAUUUAGAAAUGAAAAAAAAGACUUUUUUUAUAUUUACAGAAUAAAAUGAAUAAUUAAAUUAAAUAUAUUUUAUGAGUUUGUUAAAUAAUGAGACUAAAAUGAAUUAAUUUAAAAAUUUGGCGCACUUUCAGAGAAGCGAGACGCAAGAGUAGAAGAACACGAAAGCCUUACUCCUCAAUUGCUUGAAACUCCGAUCAAGGUGCUCUCUGCUAACCUCGAGCAUCUCCGAUAACUGAUCUCCGGCCGCUGCAGCUUUCUCGAAAUUCUCCC
Molecule: long non-coding RNA, 567 nt
Filed under: Phaseolus vulgaris (common bean)
Lineage: Eukaryota; Viridiplantae; Streptophyta; Magnoliopsida; Fabales; Fabaceae
Description: long non-coding RNA (PVUL_LNC000565)
Source: RNAcentral